CCGGCCUCCGGUAAAGCUUCGCAUAAAAGCCUCGCUCUACUCCUGGCUCUGUCCUUCCUAACUUCUCAUUAGGCUUAGCACCCCAGGAUGAGGUGUGAUCCAUGCCGCGUUAACUUAUCUGCCCCUUCUCUACCUUUUCUUUUUUCUUUUUUCCUUCCUUUUCGAGAGCGAGUCUAGCUCUGCCACCGAGGCUGGAGUGCAGUGGCACAAUCUCGGCUCACUGCAGCCGCCGCCUCCCGGGUUCAAGCGAUUCACCUGCCUCAGCCUCCCGAGUAGCUGGGAUUACAGGCCUGCGCCACCACGCCCGGCUAAUUUUUUAUUUUUUUUUAGUAGAUACGGGGCCAGGAGUUUGAGACCAGCAUGGCCAACAUAGUGAGACCCCAU
RNAcentral lists this small RNA (384 nucleotides) under Pongo abelii (Sumatran orangutan). RNAcentral describes it as "processed transcript". Lineage: Eukaryota; Metazoa; Chordata; Mammalia; Primates; Hominidae. The record is from RNAcentral.